CGUUAAGGUUUUUAGAUGGGUUAAUCAGGUUUAUAGGCGAAGCCGGUGCAAGUCCGGCGCUGUCGCGCAACUGUAAGGGCCUCAAACGCCCGAGCCAGGUCGCCCGUCUGAGUGGGUUCAC
This 121-nucleotide non-coding RNA is filed under the name Chloroflexota bacterium. Lineage: Bacteria; Bacillati; Chloroflexota. The record is from RNAcentral.